Non-coding RNA from Phrynosoma platyrhinos (Desert horned lizard), 72 nucleotides. NCBI's taxonomy places the organism in Eukaryota, Metazoa, Chordata, Lepidosauria, Squamata, Phrynosomatidae. The record is from the annotation of a GenBank genome assembly.
GCCAACAUGGAUUAGUGGUUUGGAUGUUGGAUUAUGACUCUGGAGACCAAGGUUCAAAUCCCAGCUUUGCCA